CCGUGAGUUGUGAGACCCAAGUAACCUAGUGCUCUGAUACCAACUUGUCACGACCAGGAUUUACUCACCAUCGGGAGUCGUGAUGGCGCCUACUGUCGAAGCUAGGCAAACCAACCCUUAUAAACAUUUCCAGAAAAUUCAAAUCUAAAACAAAUUAAAUGCUAAAAUAAUUAGUUAAAACAUGCGGAAGAGAUAAUAACAAUAACGAAAACAAUAUGCGGAAAACUAACAACCAAUCUCUACCCAGUAUCUGGUG
This 256-nucleotide long non-coding RNA is filed under the name Nicotiana benthamiana. Its description in RNAcentral is "long non-coding RNA (NBEN_LNC001352)". The record is from RNAcentral. Lineage: Eukaryota; Viridiplantae; Streptophyta; Magnoliopsida; Solanales; Solanaceae.